RNAcentral lists this ribosomal RNA (648 nucleotides) under uncultured bacterium. RNAcentral's name for it is "bacterial SSU rRNA". It matches the Rfam family "Bacterial small subunit ribosomal RNA", at positions 111 to 760 of the family's 1533-position model. The record is from RNAcentral.
UAACGCGUGGAUAACCUGCCGUAUACAGGGGGAUAACACUUAGAAAUAGGUGCUAAUACCGCAUAAGCGCACGGUUCCGCAUGGAACAGUGUGAAAAACUCCGGUGGUAUACGAUGGAUCCGCGUCUGAUUAGCCAGUUGGCGGGGUAACGGCCCACCAAAGCGACGAUCAGUAGCCGGCCUGAGGGGGUGAACGGCCACAUUGGGACUGAGACACGGCCCAAACUCCUACGGGAGGCAGCAGUGGGGAAUAUUGCACAAUGGGGGAAACCCUGAUGCAGCGACGCCGCGUGAGUGAAGAAGUAUUUCGGUACGUAAAGCUCUAUCAGCAGGGAAGAAAAAAAGUCCUUUGGACUUUGGACGGUACCUGACUAAGAAGCCCCAGCUAACUACGUGCCAGCAGCCGCGGUAAUACGUAGGGGGCAAGCGUUAUCCGGAUUUACUGGGUGUAAAGGGAGCGUAGACGGCAGCGCAAGUCUGGAGUGAAAUGCCGGGGCCCAACCCCGGAACUGCUUUGGAAACUGUGCAGCUGGAGUGCAGGAGAGGUAAGCGGAAUUCCUAGUGUAGCGGUGAAAUGCGUAGAUAUUAGGAGGAACACCAGUGGCGAAGGCGGCUUACUGGACUGUAACUGANGUUGAGGCUCGAAAGC